CCAAAAACUCAAUUCGUCCAUUUUUACCCCACGUUAUCAUACACCCUCGCUCAUGUGAUAACACCCCACAAAAAUAUAAAAAUAAUCAAAUCCAUAACAAAUUUAAUCUUAUCCUAACUAAAUUUUUAUACCUCACCACUAACCUACCCACCUCCCUAAUCCCAUACCCGCAUACCCCACCCUUGGCUCAUUUCUUUUUACCCACUACACAAAAUAAAUACAUACGACAACAUCCAUCAGAUUGAGAGACAAUACCAGGGGGCCACAGUGAAGAAAGGGGAAAUAUAGAGAGAGAAGGACGACCAUGGUCUUCUUUCUUCUUUUCUAAGAAAGCUCCAAAAUGCCAUAAAUACACAUACACAUAUUGACACACGCAUAACUCAUCUGAAACACACACACAAAGCGUGAGAUACACACUCAUCUGGUCGAGAGGGAGAGAUUGGGCAAUUGAGAGAUAGUGAGAGAAGAGAAAAGACGUGAGGCAGAGAGAUAGAGAAAAUGAAAGAGAAGGAAUACGAUAGAAAAGGUUGGCUGUUCUUUGGAUUUUUGGCAAAAUUUCUCGACAUAAUCGGCGUUUCCUUAUCAAAUCCGACCACCUGCAGACCCAAAAAUCCCUGAAUCCUCUUCGUCUCUUGUUCUCUGGCAAAAUAUCACUAAGAAUAUCAUCUUUGCUGACUGCCAGGAUUUACCAGUGCUCCGGCGAGUUCGAAUCUCAUCAGAAAUAGCAAAACCGAAGUCCAAAUAAUUAAACCCACAAUCGAGUCUGAGUGGAGUGGAGUUCGGGAUCAAAGUUAUUGAUUUGGGUUCGUGUUGAGGUUUUUGAUUUGAGUUUUCGAUGUGGACUCCAUCUCAUUCGAAUAAUAUUUGAGUUCGAAAGCGAUAUUAAGGUCCAUUUCUCAUCCCUUUCUUGAGUAAUUUUAAUUUUGAUAUUAAGGUCCAUUUCUCAUCCCUUUCUUGAGUAAUUUUAAUUUUGAUAUUAAGGUCCAUUUCUCAUCCCUUUCUUGAGUAAUUUUAAUUUUGAUAUUAAGGUCCAUUUCUCAUCCCUUUCUUGAGUAAUUUUAAUUUUGAUAUCUUGUUGGGUGAAUUGAUAAUGUGUGGAUCUUGCUUUGGUUGGUUUUGUGAUGUUUGAAUCAUGAAUUUUGGUUGCUGUUAGUUUUGAAUUAUGAAAGUUGAAUUAAUAGUCUAAGGAUUGGUUAAUCAAUGAUUGAGGAUUAAAGUCGGCUAUUGGGGGCAGAAAUUAAAAAUUGAUAGAAAGCAAGCAUUAGUUAUUUUAAUUCAUUGGGAUCGUUGAGUGUGAUAAUGGCAUGACAGAUCGAGCUGGGUAGGCAAAUUUAGGAAUGAUGUUUGAUUGAAUGCGUGGAAUACUGAAUGUGUUGAAUGCUUUUCUAGUUUAUCUCAUGAAAUUGAAAUUGUAUUCAUUUGCCGAGGAAUGCCCCAUAGAAAUUGUAUUUAUUCAUCGGAGAAUGCCCCGAGGUAUCUGUAUUGCUUUAUCCGGGGAAUGCUCCGAGAAAGUUGUACUUUAAAAUGGCGCACGGUCAAGGCCCUGAACAUCAGAUAGAUUAAAGCACGGGAGCAUAAUUACGAUUAGUGUAGGUUAGAAUAGGAUUUAUUUUUUUCGCAUGUUUUAUUUUGGACUGUAUAAUUGGACUGAAAAAUUAUAUUUUGGGAUUUGUUUGUUUGGAUUUGUUCGUUAUUUAAUUGUUGUGUGUUUUAUGUGGUUUAUGCAUUCAUAGUGCCAAAAUAGCCGAUACAAUCCACCAAGCGGCCGUGAUUAAACCACGGGAUUGAGGGGUGCCUAACACCUUCCCUUCGGUCAACAGAAUUCCUUAGCCGGAAUCUCUGUUCGCGGAUCAGUUUAGAAGAGUCAAAAAUAGUUUUGAAAAAAGGACUUUUCAAGGUGACUUGGCACACCUGAUUAUGCCAAGUGGCGACUCUGAGUUUUGAAUAUAAAAGUCCUUUUCGAAAUAAAUUUUCAUUUUGUCACUUUAAUAAUAAAAUCCUUUUGAAACUUAAAACACAUGAAUCUUUUUGGUUGUAAAAGGGGUAUGACAGCUAGGAUAUUCAUUACUAAUAUUCCCCUAAUGAGUUUUGUAGUUUACAAGAUUUUUUAUAAUUUAUUUUCAAAUAGUAUCAACGAUGAAUUUUUAUUACUUACUACAAAAAUUAUCUAUCGCUAACCUUUGUUUUUUCUUCUUGAAAUGAUGAUAACUAGGGAAUGUAAAUUAAGCCAAGUUAAUAAAUGGACCAAUUAAGUUAUGUGGGACUAAAAUUUAGGUCAUAAGACUCAUAACUCCAUCCAUCAAUUUGAACUAAUAUUAACGACUAUAUAUAAUAUAUUAAAAAUAUAUUUAAAAAAUUAAAAAGAAAUGAAGAUUUCUCAUGGAUCAAUUUAUAUAUUAGCGUAAUUUCAAAAAAUAUUAAAUUAAAUGAAUCAAAAUAAAUUAAAUUGAUAAUAAACAGAUUAUUAAAUCAUACAAACCUAAAUAAAUUAACCAAGUUAAUUUUAUGAUAAUUUUUACCACCCAAAAUAAACAUCUCUCUAUACUUGUGUAUUUUGUUAUAGACAUAUAAGAUCAUUAUGCAUAAGGCUUAUCUGAGCAUAAUGUGUUGCUAUCUUGAGAAUAUAUAAUGUUAACUGUUACAUUAUUUUCAACACAUAAACAUGAGCAUGGUAAAACUUAUAUUCACCCGGUGUAUACACCAACCCAAUACAUGCAUGCCAUGUGUUUGAAUUUAAAGUUCAUGUUACUUGGGGGUUUGGGCCACAGGUGACAAGAGUUUUAAAAUGAGGUGUAGGUGACACAAGUUUUAAUUAUUAGUUGGAGGUGACAAUUACUUUAUUAUGUAUUAAGAAAGUUGGAAAAGUUUGAAAAUAACCCACAAGUUUUUAAAUUUACACUUUGAUCCCAAUGUAUACCUAAAAUAACGAAAAAACAGAGGAAAAAAAAGACGCCUUUCUCUCUUCUCAUCCAUUGUUGUUUUCUCUCUCUUAGCGAUUUUUGUUGUUAAUUGUUUCUGUUUCUGUUGCUUUAUUCAUCAUCUUCUGCUUCAUUAUCAUCAUCUUCUACUUCAUUAUCAUCUUCAUCUUCUUCUUGUCGACCAUUUGUUGUUGUUGUUGUUGUUGUUGUUGGUACAACGUUACUGCUGCGAUCUGACCAAUUUCUUAGGUCAAAUUUUAUUUACUACAUCACUUUCCACUUUGGCAUUACUUAAUAGGUGACUUUGGUAAGUAAAAUUAUGAUUUUUAUUUGUAUUUAUCAUCUGGGUACACUUUUAUUUUUCCAAUAAUGGAUAGAACCCCGAUUAUGAAUCCAACAUAAGUACCCACAAUUUAGAACAAUCAUCUGUUGCAUCAGAUGAGUAAUCUAUUGCAUCAGAAGAUUUAUCCGUUGCAUCAGACUGUUUAUCUGUUGCAUCAUCGUAUUAUCCGUUGCAUCAGACUGUUUAUCUGUUGCAUCAUCGUAUUAUCCGUUGCAUCAGACUGUUUAUCUGUUGCAUCAUCGUAUUAUCUGUUGCAUCAGACGUAUUAUCUGUUGUAUCAGGAUGUUUAUCUGUUGCACCAGACUAAUUAUCUAUUGCAUCAGAAUGUUUAUCUAGUGCACCAGAUUAAUUAUCUGUUGCAACAAAUGAUUAAUCUGUUUGAAACAACACAAAUCAACCUCUGCCACAAACCCAACAGAUAAAUCUUGCUAUUGCUACUGGAUUCUAAAUUAUUCUUUUUUACGUCGAAUCGUCGACAUAUUUGUUGAGAAGAUAAUAGACAGAAUGAAAAUUAAAUAUGGAUUAAAACAUUAAAGAUCAAACAUAAUUUAUUUAUUAAGCAAAUAAAAAUGGAUAUAAUAGACUAAAAGAAAAAUAAUAGUCUAAUUAUUUAUUUAUUAAGCAAAUAAAAAUACAUAUAAUAGCCCUCCUCAGCCUGCGUAUCUCGCGGAGCAUUCUUGAUCUAACUCCUCCUAGUUCCCAUUUCUGAUCACGAACUUGAUUCUGAAGUUCAUUCACGGCGUCUUGCAGAAAAGCAAAGUUCCACACUGGGUCAGCCAUAAUCUUAUCUUCUAGUGUGUAAUAUGAAAGAUGAGAUGCAAUAAAUAAAUAGUGUAUUUGAAUGAACGAUUAAAAGGCGCGACAAUUCACCUCCAUACAUUAAUUACAUUUUUGAUUAAAUUAGGAAAAUAAAUAUUGUGAUAUAAGUCAUGACUUUUCAGAUUAUUAUUAUUAAUUAGUUCUUUCGAAGAACCAUUUUUAUUGAGUUGUGGCAAAAGAUUCUAUAUCUGUUGCAUCAGAUAACACAUCUGUGACAACAGAUAUAUUAUCUGUUGCAACAAAUAUAAAAUAUGUUGCAUCAGAUAACAUAUCUGGUGCAACAUAUAAUCUAACUGUUCACCUCCAUUUAUUGAUUACAUUUUUAAUUAAUUUGACAAGUAAUGAAUUAAUUAAACUAAGAAAUAUUAUGAUAAGUCAUGACUUUUCAGAUUAUUAUUAUUAAUUAGUUCUUUCCAAGAACUGCUUUUAUUGAGUUGUGACUCGAUAUAGGUUGCAUCAGAUAAAUCAUCUGUGACAACAGAUAUAUCAUCUGUUGCAACCAUAGUGAACCUGUUGCAUCAGAUAAUUUAAUUGUUAAUAAUUUAAAAAAUAAAUUCAAAAAUAAAAAUGGUGAAAAGUCACGAUCAGUUAUUAAAAUUGUGGUUAUAAAUUGUGUUUAUUAUUUAUUUCCUUAUUAUUUAUUUACGAAAUAUUUUUCUUAUUGAAUAAUCGGAACUGAAAAUCAUGUCUUUUCCUUUUCACCCUCUCAAUAACAACAAUAGCCCUUAUUUAUUAAUAACCGCCAGGUGCAACAUAUGAUCGAUAUGUCGUAGCAGAUUAACCUCUAACUGUUGACACAAAUAUCUGCUCAAUCCCUACCACCAACCGUCGACAUAUUGAGAACAAGGAAUAAACAAAAUGAUUAUUAUUAAAUACUAAAUAAGAAUUAAAAAUUCAAAGUCGACAACAAAAUGAAAUGAAUAUUCAUAGAUUUUUGAAUCCCUUGGGUAGAUUUGAUAGACAAAAGGAGGAAAAUAAUCGCUAAAAUAAAAAACAUUACCUAAUUAUUAUUACUACUACUAUUAUUAUUAGUGUCAAUCAUACAUCUUUCAUCCGGCAGCCUUGCUCCAAAGUAAGCCAAAUCUCUCUGGAGUUCAUCAAAUUGUCUUUGAAGUUCACGCAAGGACUCAAUAUGAAUAUUCUUGUAUGAAUCUGGAUCAUCCAUAUUUGUAAGGAGGGUCUUAUUUAUAAAUUAUUGUAUCGGAAAGAAAAGAAAAUUGCUUUAAAAUAAAUCUAACAAAUGGGUAAUUUGUUGCAAAAUAUAUUCUUUCUGUUAGAUAACUUACAACAUACUGACAAUCAUUUUGCAACAGAUGUAUAUAUCUAUUUGAUUUCUGCAAUAAGUUGAUCAAAUUUCAUAACAGAUAUCUCUAAUUGUUUGACAAUAUAAACAGAUGUGUCAUCUGUUGCAACAAGCUAGUCAUCUGUUUAUUCAAUUUAAGCCAUAGAUGGGCUAGGAAGAAUAAGGUACAUGCAGAUGGAUCCACUAUCAUAUGUAUGAGAUUUAAGUAUGUAUUACUGAUAAGAUUACCAGGACAACACAUACAAAGUACAAUAUUUUUGUGAAUGCAGUUUUUAACCGAUUAGGUAUUGAUCAUUCAAAUAAGAUCCUGCUUUGUACCAUUAAGUUUGAUGGGUUCGAAAUUGAUAAGGCUGAGGACCUCAUGAAGAUGGUGCAGAUGUCCUGUUACCAAUUAUUGACGGUUAGUGCUCGUGUUUAUACGUGUCAAGUUUUGAGAAGGGAUCAAUAUUUGUCAUCACUACAGAGAACCGAUAGCGAUUGGACUUAACUUUAAGUGUGCAUUGGACACUUAGAGGGGCCUCGAAGCCUCACACUGCAUCAAACAAGAACGAAAAACCAAUAUAGUUAUUGCCCUAGCCAAAAUUUAUAUGGUUGGGUUGCUCGCUCGAGGUGAUGAUUAUAUGCCAGAAGGUGUGGUAGGAGAAUGCUUUCGAGGAAAAAUGGGUGGUUGAUGGAGGACUAUAUUAUGUGAGAGCUAAUUAAAGAAGAGAAACAGGGUAGAAAGUAACUUCUAACGAAUUUGGCCAAUGGAGUUAUCUUAACAGAUGCGAAAUCUGAAUCAAGUGGAAAUAUAAAAGUGUAUCUGGUAAUGUAAUUUUGUCUGUUGUGUCUCUGAAAGAAAAACAAUGCAGAUAGACACUUUGCUAGGGAGCUAUAUGGUCGGGAUUAUCACCUAGGUAGAAAAUAAGAGAAGACCAACAAAGAAGCCUCACGGACAUCGAGGGUAGAAGUGAUGUUCAGCAAGUAUAGAAAACUUACGCCAACAACAACUGCAGUUAAAAUAAGUAAACUAAGCGAAGGCGGCAAUUUCUAAAUUUUAAAUUUCAUCCCAUCUUUUUGUUUGUGUUUCCGAUCAGGUCCACUGUCGUUGACCUGAUCAAAACCACAAACGUGAUUGAAAGGCAAAUAGAGUAUAAUUACUUCCUUAGCAAUAUGGAUUAAUUGAUUGUGUUUUCUUGCCUUAGCAUGCUUUCAACAUUCCUUGGAAAAUAUCAGAUUCUUGUUGUAGUAUGUGAAUCUCGAUAAUUUUCAAGCUUGCCUUCAGCUUAUUGAUUCUGUAUUCAAGAUAGUCGUUACUGUCUUCAAAGUUGGUGAGGAGUUCCUUCUCUCUUGUGAGCUCGAUCAGGAACACUACCUUCAGAACACUUUCUUCAGAAGACUUAAAGGAUACAUAAAGGGUCGUUGUGUUUGUUUUAGGUCAAAAUAUGUUGAUGCAUGUUGAAGAUGUGGUCCCAACAGUUGAACAACACACUUUUAUCGAGUGUUUCUCCAUACAUCUUGCUCAACCAAUUUGAUAAAUUAGUAAGCAUGGAGUUACAUAGUAUGUGGUUUAAACUGGAUCUACCAAGCCUAUCAAAUGUUACGUAACUCCGAGCUCAUUACCAUAUCAAAACAAUAUGCCCGAGUUAGUGCACAAAUAAAAAAAGCCCAAUCUGUCAGCCUUUCUGCUGAUCACUCUUCUCCAAUAUAGAUGACAAGAUAUCUGCUAUGCAAAAAUCUACACCAUUGCCAGACAUGCUUUCCUGGGAGCGAUUCUUCAGAAGACAUCAACAGAUAUCCUUCAGAAGAAUUGAUCCUAGGCAAACAUGUCUGGCGACGGUGUAGAAUUUUGCAUAGCAGAUAUCUUGUCAUCUAUAUUGGAGAAGAGCGAUUAGCAGAAAGGCUGAGAGAUUGAGCUUGUUUGAUUUGUGCACUAACUCAGUUAUAUUUUUUUAUAGUGUAAUAAGCUUAGAGUUACGUAAUGUUUGAUAGGCUUGGUAGAGCUGGUUUAGAUCACACACUAAGUAACUCCAUGCUUACUAAUUUAUCAAAUUGGUUGCGCAAGAUGCAUAGAGCAACGCUCGAUAAAAGUGUGUUGUUUAACUAUUAGGACCACAUCUUCAACGUGCAUCAACACAUUUUGACCUAAAACAAACACAGAGACCCUCCAUGUAUCCUUUAAGGCUUCCGAAGAAAGUGUUCUAAAGGGCUUCUAGAAUGCCACAACUUUGAAGGUAGUGUUCCUGAUCGAUCUCACAAGUGACGAGGAACUCCUUACCAACCUCGAAGAGGGCAACGACCAGCUUGAAUAUAGAAUCAACAAGCUGGAGGCAAGCUUGAAAAUUAUCGGGAUUCACAUACUACAGCAAGCAUCUAAUCUUCUCCAAGAAAUAUUGAAAGCAUAUCAAGGCAAGAAAAUACAAUCAAUUAUAACCAUAUUGCUAAGGAAGCAAUGAUACUCUAUUUUCCUUUCAAUCUCGUUUGUGGUUUCAAUCAGGUCAACGAUAGUGGACUUAAUCGGAAACACAAACAAGAAAGCAUGGGAUGAAAUUUAAAAUUCAAAAAUUUGUUGCCUUUACUUAGAUUCUUUAUUUUAACUUCAGUUGCUGUUGGCAUAAGUUUUCUAGACUUGCUGUACAUCAUUUCAACCCUCGAUGCCCGCGAUCCUUCUUUGUUGGCCUUCUCCUAUUUUCUAUCUAGGUGAUACUCCCAACCACGCAGCUCCCUAACAAAGUGUUCAGAUGCAUUGUUUAUCUUUCAGAGACAUAAUAGAUGAAAUUACAUUAACGGAUACACUUCAUAUUUGCACUUGAUUCAGAUCUCGCAUCUGUUAAGAUAAUUCCACCUGCCAAAUUUAUUAGAAGAUACUUUCUACCCUAUGUCUCUUCUUCAAUUAUCUCUCAGAUGAUAUAGUCUUCCAUCAACCACCCAUUUUCCUUCGAAAGCAUUCUUCUACCGCACAUUCUGGCAUAAAAUCAUCACCCCGAUAUAUUGGUUUUUCAUUCUUAUUAGAUGCAGUGCUAAGCUUUGAAGGCCCUCUAAGGGUCCAAAUCACCCUAAAAGUUAGUCCAAUCGCUAUUAAAUCUCUUUACAAUGACACAAAAACUACAUCCCUUCACAAUGGUUGAUAAAUAAACAUGAUCAACAACUGAUAUUAAAUCUUAACAGGCUAUCAGAACCAUAUUCAUGGUCCCUCAGCUUUAUCAGUUUGGACCUACCAAACUUAACUGUAAAAUUGCAGAUAUCUUGUUUGAACGAUCUAUGAAUAAUCAUUAAAAACAUCAUUCACAAAAUCAGUGCACUCUGUGUGUGUUUCCACAAUAACAUUAUCAGUAAUACAUACCUCCAACAUAUGAAAUAGUUCCAUCUACAAGAAGCUUAUUCCUCCGAUCCCAUCUUUACUGCAGCCUCUUGCUAUAGUCCAUCAAAAGUUGAUCAACUUUCAGUUCCUUAUAUCUACAAAAAAGAGGGGAAAAUUGAUGUCACAAAAAGAACAUUGUCAUCUGUUCCAUCAGAUGUGGAGCCUGUGGCAACAGAUGUGGAGUUUGUUGCAACAGAUGUAGAGUUUGUUGCAAUAGAUGUGGAGUCUGAUAAAAUACAUCAAACCAUCCUUACUGGUGAUUUUAUUUGUUCCAACAGUUUCUCCUUGCAACAUCAACAACAACAUAAACAUCAACAAAAAAAAACAACAACAUUUGUUCCAACAACAUCAUCAACAGCAAAGAAGCAAUAUCUUUUAUUCUAGAACCAUCAGCAACACCACACCACAAGUUCCAACAAUGCCAACCCCAUCAACAAUAAUGAAACAAAUAAAAUACAUACAAAAAAAUGAUACUGCCAACAAGGCUUUUAAACUUCUCCCAACAGAUAACUUUUUUCUCAUAUUGUAAUAAAAAUACUCAGAUUGUUUAUUCAAUACUUACAAGUUCCUUAAAAAAAAUUAAUAAAUAUGAUAUGGGUAAAUAGUAAUUAAAUAAAAAAAAUAAAUGCAAAUAACUUGCAAAGAAGAAGAGGAGAAUGAAAGAGCAAUAAUGAACCAUACCUUAAUAUCAAAAAGGAGAUCAAAAUAGAAAUUUAAGUCGAGGAAAGAUAUGGAUGGGUUUAGAUCCGAAAAGAACUUUAUGAGAAGAGAAGAGAAAAGAGAGAAAAAGGUUGUGACCCUAAAGAGGAGAGAAAAAAAAAUGAGAGUUGAACAAAAUAAAUUGCAGCUGAAAGAAGAGAUGAGAUAAUUUCUAUAGAUGUAUUAUGUACAUAGAUGUGGUGGUUUUCAAUAUUCAUUAAUUUCAUUAAUAAUUUGAGGGGCAUGAGGAAGACUAAGACUACUAACAUUGAAAAGACUAGCUAAGACUGCUCAAUGAACUCACUUUUGAGAUAUCCAAGAAAUAUUUUUUACCGUCUUUAGUAGUAAGUACUACUAUUUGAUAUUAUCUACUCGGACCAGAAGCUUCUUGCUUUAAAAUUAAAAGAGAAAAAAAGAUUUUCAAACAGAUAUGUCAUCUGUUGCAACAUAUAUAAAUAUCUGUUUAGAAAUCCAAACAGCUUAGUCAUCUGUUAUAACAGAUAUAAAUAUCUAUUUAAAAAUCCCAACAACUUAGUCAUCUGUGACAAUGGAUGAAAAUGUUCAUUUGAUAAUUAAUAAAAUCAGAUAUGUCAUCUGUUAAAAUAGAUAUAAAUAUAUCUUUGAAAAUUUCCAACAUCUCAGUCAUCUGUCACAACAGAUGCAAAUAUCUAUUUGAUAAUUAAAUCAGAUAUGUCAUUUGUUGCAAUAUAUAUGUACCUGUUUGAAAAUUUUCAACAGUUUAGUCGUUUGUUGCAACAAAUUUUAUUGCAAUUGACUUAGGUGGAACUAGGGAUGAAUGAAUGGGUUUGCAGAGUCAACUACAAAUUUAAUCGAUUCUUUACAAUUGCAUGGUGUUGGUAUUGCUUUCAUCCCGAUCCGAAUCAUCGAUCGAUCACUCUGAGUUGAAAUGAGUUCUCAUCAACUCAAUGUUAGGAUAGUGAUAGUACCUAAGAUGAUUUAGGUGGAACUAGGGAUGAAUGAAUGAGCUCGCAGAGUCAACUACAAAUCCAAUUGAGUCUUUGCAAUUGAAUAGUGUUGGUAUUGCGUUCAUACCUACCCAAGUCAUUGAUCGAUCACUCUGAGUUGAAAUGAGUUCUCAUCAACUCAAUGUUAGGAUAGUUAUAGUACCUAAGUUGAUUAAGGAGGAACUAGGGAUGAAUGAAUGAGCUUACUGUCACGACCCAAAUCAGGGCUGGGCCGUGACGAGAAUUUCAAACCAUUGAGGCCCAAAACACCCCUAUCUAUCUGGUAAUCAUGCACCUAAUUCAUAUGAUCAAAGAAAUGCGGAAAAAAACACAAUAAUUCGGAAACAUGGUCAUAAAUAUGAAAAGAGACAAUAAUGGAGAGAUAAUGUUCCCUCAACAUCAAUUAUCCUCUGAACAACUGUCUACGAAAAUCUCUAACAAAUAACUGAAAUAAUGUCUAUCUGAAAACUGGGACAAGGCCCCUAGUAGACCCAAAAACUGAAUAUAAGAUAAAAGGACUGCAGGACAUAAGACCUUCCAAAAAAUAGAAGGCUCACCACUUGUCUCUACAGCUCUGUUUGAAAGUUCUACUGAUUCUCUUGACCCCUAGACUGGGCAUCUGAACCUGAGAGGUUGGAGAGGGGAGGGGGUCAGCACAAAAGUACUGGCACGCAGAGAUAUCAAAACAAAACAUAAUAUUUUUACAAAGUAUAGUUGAGAGCCAUUAUAAAGCAAUUUCGUAUCAAAUCAUUUGAAAGCACAUGGGUGUAAUGCAAUAGUUUUUUUCUCAACAAUAAUGAAAUGCAACUGAGCUAGGUGGAAUACCCUACAUAAUUUACACCAACUGUCAAACCUCGGUUGCCGCCGAGAUUAGAGUAUAAGUGAGGGAGAGACACACAAGACCACGAAGCAUGGUGUCUCGACCCNNNNNNNNNNNNNNNNNNNNNNNNNNNNNNNNNNNNNNNNNNNNNNNNNNNNNNNNNNNNNNNNNNNNNNNNNNNNNNNNNNNNNNNNNNNNNNNNNNNNNNNNNNNNNNNNNNNNNNNNNNNNNNNNNNNNNNNNNNNNNNNNNNNNNNNNNNNNNNNNNNNNNNNNNNNNNNNNNNNNNNNNNNNNNNNNNNNNNNNNNNNNNNNNNNNNNNNNNNNNNNNNNNNNNNNNNNNNNNNNNNNNNNNNNNNNNNNNNNNNNNNNNNNNNNNNNNNNNNNNNNNNNNNNNNNNNNNNNNNNNNNNNNNNNNNNNNNNNNNNNNNNNNNNNNNNNNNNNNNNNNNNNNNNNNNNNNNNNNNNNNNNNNNNNNNNNNNNNNNNNNNNNNNNNNNNNNGGGUAUCAAGACAUUAUCAUGGGAAUUUGAAAGCAAUUUAUCAUUCAUAUUUAUCAAACUUCCAUGGAAAAUCUCAAAUCACAUAUGCAUGGUUUCAACCAUUGAAGUAUAUAGGCAAACAAUUCCCAUGACAUAAAGAAAACGACUUAAAAAUCGUAUUGAAAGCAAGAUAUUAGCAUUUGAUUGAAAACCCCCAUUUAAAACCAUGCAUGUUCAUAAAAACUACACCCAUGAGAUUUUUGGAUAACCCCACGUACCUUUAUUUCCAAGGAUAAUAGGUGUUUCUUGAAGCUUGCGGAUUGAUGAAUCCAAAUAUGUAAUUAUCUUUGAAAACCUAAGGUCAAAUCUUGAACUAUUUGGGUUUUUAUUUUGAAACCCUAAGGAGAAUCUUGAGCAAUUUUGAUGAAAGAAUAUGUAUUUUGGGAUCGUUGGAACUAAAUCUCGUGUUUCAGGGCUAAGUAAGGGUGAAAAAGGACCACUUUAUUCUCAACACGGAGUGUUUAAAUCACCAGAAUUCCUUACAUAGGCGCCGCCCGUCCCGUUGCCUAUGUUCACAUAGGCACCGCCUAGGAUAUCGCCUAUGUUUGCAUAGGCGCCACCUAGGCUAUCGCCUAUGUUUUCCAGUGGCUAUGGGCAAUUGGUUAGGCGACGCUUAUCACUUUGAAGGGCCAUAACUUUUUGCUCGGGUGUUGGAUUUUUGCCUAAUUGGUAUCGUUGGAAAGCUAACUUGAAUACCUAUCAUUUGACACAUAGUAGGCUUCAUAAUUUGACAUAUACAGAGAGUUAUGGUCGAUGGAAGCUGACACACUUUACAACAUCUACUAAAACUUAGUCGAUCGAAAUAGUUCCAACUCGUCCUUGAGUUGAAGGACCUCUAUGGUCUAAAUUCAAGCUUGAGCGGAUUCACAUGCUACCCAAUAAUUAACAUGCCAUAUUGGCAUAGGAUUUUAUGGAUUUGGGAUUAGCAACGCAUCGAAAUCAUGGUCUAUAUUGUAGCCCGAAUUACGGGGCGUUACAUUAUCCCCCCUUAGGAUCAUUCAUCCCCGAAUGAUGAAGCGGGACACAGAUAGACACGAUUUCAAGCAUAAUAAUGGACUAGGAAAGAUACGAUAGGAAUAGUACCUUCUGUCUCCUCCUUUAUCGAAGCAAACAAAUUGGGAUAUCUAAUUUACAUGUCAUCUUCUGACUCCCAAGUUGCUUCUUCGACUUUCUGAUUCCUCCAUAGUACCUUUACUGAGGCUAUCUCUUUGCUCCUCAUCUUUCAAACUUGGCAAUCUAAAAUUUCAAAAGGCUCUUCUUCGUAAGACAAGGAAUCUGUCACUUUGAUACCCUCUACUGGCAAUACCCUAGAAUGAUCUCCAAUGCAUUUCUUCAACAUGAAUACAUCGAAUACUAGAUGAACGAAACCCAAACUUGCAGGCAAUUCUAACUCAUAUACAAUUGUACCAAUCUUUUUCAAAAUCUGAUGUGGCCCUACAUAAAGAGGGCUCAAUUUACCUCUUUUUCCAAACCGCAUAACUCCUUUUAUAGGAGAAACCUUUAGAAACACCCAAUCACUAAUUUCAAACUCUAGUUCUCUUCUCCAAACAUUGGCAUAGGACUUCUGAUGAAUCUGAGCAGUCUUGAGUCGUUCUCUAAUGAUUUUUACUUUCUCCAUCGCCUGAUGAACAAGAUCAGGCCCAUACAACUGAGUCUCACCCAUUUUAUACCAUCCUAUAGGAUACCUACAUCUUCUCCCAUACAAGGCCUCAAAAGGAGCCAUCUUAAUGCUAGCAUGGUAGCUAUUAUUCUAGGCGAAUUCAACCAGUGGCAGGUGAUCUACCCAACUACUAUUGAAAUCGAUGACGCAUGCCCUCAAAAUAUCUUUGAGGGUCUGAAUGGUACGCUCAGCUUGCCCAUCCGUCUGAGGGUGGAAAGCUGUGCUCAAAUUUACUUGUGUACCUAAACCCUUCUGAAAGGAUCUCCAAAACUGAGAUGAAAACUGUGUACCUCUGUCGGAUAUAAUGGACACUGGUGCCCCAUGUAAUCAAACUAUCUCCUCAAUGUAAAUCUUAGCAUAAACCUCUCCCAAACAAUUAGUCCUCACAGGCAAAAAGUGAGCUAACUUGGUCAACCGAUCUACAAUCACCCUUAUAGAAUCAUACUGGUUUCGGGAUCUCAGAAGUCCUGUAAUAAAGUCCAUAUUUAUCAUCUCCCACUUCCAUAAAGGUAGGGCUAUCUCUUGGGAAGUACGACCUGGCCUCAUGUGUUCUACUUUUACUUGCUGACAGUUCAAACACUUGGACACAAAAUCAGCUACAUCAUGUUUCAUGUUAUUCCACCAAUACAAGGUUUUUAGAUCAUGGUACAUCUUAGUAGAGCCUGGGUGAAUGACAUACCUCGAAGUGUGCACCUCAUUAAGGAUUCUUUCUCGUAGACCAUCGAUAUUCGGAAUGCACAACCUACCCUGAAAUCUCAGAAUACCAUCGCCACCAAUUUCAAAUGACAUAACCUUUUUUUGACCCAUAUCUUUCUUGAUUUGCAUCAAGAUGGGAUCUUCAACCUGAUUCUCCUUAACUUCAGCACAAAGAGAUGGCUUAGCUAACUCAUGAACAAUCACCCCUCCAUCUUCGAAAUCUAUGAGUCGCACCCCCAGAUUUGCAAGGCGGUGAAUAUCCUUCACCAUCUCUUUCUUUCCUUCUUCUACAUGAGAAAGNNNNNNNNNNNNNNNNNNNNNNNNNNNNNNNNNNNNNNNNNNNNNNNNNNNNNNNNNNNNNNNNNNNNNNNNNNNNNNNNNNNNNNNNNNNNNNNNNNNNNNNNNNNNNNNNNNNNNNNNNNNNNNNNNNNNNNNNNNNNNNNNNNNNNNNNNNNNNNNNNNNNNNNNNNNNNNNNNNNNNNNNNNAAGUCAUAAGUGGGGUAAUUGCGCUCAUGAACCUUUAACUGCCUAGAUGCAUAAGCUAUCACCUUACCAUGCUGCAUCAAUACACAACCAAGUCCCACACGGGAUGCAUCACAAUAAACCAUAAAAUCAUCUACACACUCGGGAAAGGCCAAAGUUGGAGCAGUAGUCAGCUUGUCCUUCAAUUUCUCAAAACUAUUUUCACACAAGUCAGACCACGCAAACUUCAUCUUUUUCUGAUUUAGUUUAGUAAGCGGAGCAAAUAUGGAAGAAAAACUCUCUAUGACCUUCUGUAAUACCCCGCAAAACCCAAGAAGCUCCGAAUAUCGGUUGGAUUUAUGGGUCUGGGCCAUUUUCUCAUUGCUUCAACUUUCUGGGGAUCCACUCUUAUCCCAUCACUAGACACAAUAUGCCCUAGGAAGGCAAUAGCAUCUAACCAGAAUUCACAAUUAGAAAAUUUGGCAUACAGCUGAUGAUCCUUAAGGGUCUGAAGGAUAAUUCGGAGGUGAUUGGCGUGAUCCUCUUUACUCUUAGAAUAGAUCAGAAUAUCAUCAAUAAAUACAAUGAUGAACAAGUCAAGAAACAAACAAAACACUCUAUUCAUAAGAUCCAUGAAGGCUGCAGGGGCAUUAGUCAACCCGAAGGACAUGACUAGAAAUUUGUAGUGACCAUAGCGGGUUGGGAAGGCUGUCUUAGGUAUGUCUGACUCCCUAACUUUCAACUAAUUAUAACCCGAACGAAGGUCUAUUUUUGAAAAAAACUUGGCACCCUGAAGUUGGUCAAAAAGGUUGUCAAUCCUAGGAAGAGGAUAUUUAUUUUUAAUCGUGACCUUAUUCAGCUGACGGUAGUCUAUGCACAUCCGAAGGGACCCAUCCUUCUUUCGCACGAAGAGCACGGGUGCACCCCAUGGGGAAACACUAGGAUGAAUAAAACCUUUGUCUAGGAGGUCUGCAAGCUGUUCCUUUAACUUCUUUAGUUCCACAGGAGCUAUUCUAUAUAGCGGAAUAGAAAUAGGACGAAUGUCUGGCAACACAUCAAUGCCAAAAUUUAUCUCCCUAUCAGGGAGUAUCCCUGGGAGAUCUUCGGGAAAGACUUCUGGGAAUUCAUUCACUACAGGGACUGACUGUAGAGGAAGGUUUCCAACUUUUGAAUCUUUUACUCGGAUUAGAUGAUACAUACAACCUUUGGAGAUAAGCUUUUGGGCUCGAAGAUAAGAGAGAAAGUGACAUCUAGGUUCCACAGAACUCCCUUCCCAAACAACUGGUGUCUCAUUCAGGAAAGAAAAAGUGACCUUUCGGGUUUUGCAAUCAAGGGUGGCAUAACACGAAUGGAGCCAGUCCAUACCAAGGAUGGUAUCAAAGUCUAUCAUAUCCAGUUCUAUAAGGCCUGCCACAGUUUUCCUACCAUGAAUAGACACGACACAAUUUCUAUAUACCCUUCUAGAAAUAACAGAAUCACCUACCGGAGUAGAAACAGAGAAGGGUUCUACAAUAACUUCGGGCUCAAACCCGAAACCAACAGCCACAUAAGGGGACACAUAAGAUAAUAUAGACCUGGGAUCAAGCAAGACAUAAACAUCACGAGAAAAGAUUUAUAACAUACCAGUGAUAACAUCCGGUGAAGCUUCCGCCUCCUGGUGGAUAGUCAAAGAAUAUAACCGGUUGCGAUCGCUUUCGGCAGCUGAAGGGGAACCCUUAGGGAAAGGAGCUGUGGAGGCGGUUUGGGACUUAGCCCCCCUCCUCCCCCCUGCAUUUACUCCAGCAGAUGGAUAAUCUCUUUGAAGGAGACCCACUUUGACAUAAGUAUAGUAGUUUCUUCCCUCAAACCAGCACUUCCCUGGUGAUUCCUUCCGCAAACCCCACACCAUAGACGAGUACGAUAUUGUUGGGCCACACUGCCCUGAGACUGUGUACCUAGAGCUUUGGACCCAUGAGGAAUCUAAAAUUUAUGAGUUUGUCGGUUUGUCGGUGGUCUAGGUGCUGGGGCGCUGGCCGCUGACUGUGCAUUAUUCCAAAACUUCUUCUUCUUCAACCACUUAUUAGCCCAGUUAACACUCUGCGGCUGACUCUGGUGCUGGUCUGCAGAUUUAGCUCUCUUAGCCUGUCUAUCUUUCACUCUAGAUUCAGCAAUCUUUUUUUUCUUCCCUUCCACUUGAUGCAUAUAAACGGUCAGUCGAGCAAAGUCUAACUCCUUAUUCAACAUAGCCCCCUGGCACUCAAGUACCAGGUCAUCAGCAAGGACAGAUGCAAACUUCCUCAUUCGGGCCCUCAUAUUACUAGUCAACUCUGGUGCAUAGCGGGCUAGUUUAUUAAACUUCAAAGUGUACUCCUGGACACUCACACUUCCCUGUUUCAGAUUCAUAAACUCUUCCGCUUUGGCCUCACUCAACUCCAGAGGAAAGAAUCGAUGAAGGAAGGCUUCCACAAAUUUGCCCCAAACUGUGGGCUCAGCACUUUCACCUUUUUUAUCUUCCCAGUCAGCAUACCACUGACUCGCAAUGUCCUUGAGAUAAUAGGUUGCUAGCUCCACCCCUUCAACUUUAUCCACAUGCAUCACCUUAAAGAUCUUUUCCAUCUCAUCCACGAACUCCUAUGGAUCUUCCUCCACCUUGGUGCCAGUGAACUUAGGUAGGUUCAUCUUCAUUAAAUGUCCGACUCUAGUAGCCUCAAAUGUAACAGAUGCAUACCCAACAUCUUCCAAUCAUUGAGCUUGGUUGGCUACCAACUGUGUCAAUAUAUGAAUAGACCGUCUGAAUUCUGCAUUUGAAAUAUCCCCCUGAGCAGUUGGGGGACGGUUGACAUUAGUCUGUGGAGCCCGAGGUGGACUGGUCGGGACUGGAGGGACUCCCGGAGUAGGGACAAAUUUUGGAGUGUGAGCCCUAUUAUAGGUUCGCAUCGCAUGGGUGGGACGGACCUCAUAUGCCUGAGCAUUCUAAUCGACGAUACGACGUGGAGGCAUAACUAUGUUUCUGAAACACAAGUGAUCAUUGAUUAGGGGACAGUUUAGACUCUGAAGCACGAACUAAAUCACAAAAAAGGGAAACAUUUCCUAAAUGCCUAGCAGCCUCCUGCUUAUAAGUGUGGCGCGCUACACACCCAUAAAUAAAAUUCUACCCAACGCAAUUUCCCAGACACGCUGGGACUAUGAACCAUGCUUUGAUACCAAGUUUGUCAUGACCCAAACCAGGGCCUGACCGUGAUGAGCAUUUCGAACCAUUGAGGCCUGAAACACCCCUAUCUGUCUGGUAAUCAUGCACCUAUUUCAUAUGAUCAAAGAAAUGCGGAAAAAAAUACAAUAAUUCAGAAACAUGGUCAUAAAUAUGAAUAGAGACAAUAAUGGGGAGAUAAUAUUCCCUCAACAUCAAUUAUUCUCUGAACAACUAUCUGUGAAAAUCUCUAACAAAUGAAUGAAACAAUGUCUAUCUGAAAAAUAGGACAAGGCCCCCAGUAGACCCAAAAACUGCAUAUAAGAUAAAAGGACUGCAGGACAUAAAACCUUCCAAAACAUAGAACGCUCACCACGUGUCUGUACAGCUCGGUCUGAAAGUUCUACUGAUUCUCUUGACCCCUAGACUGGACCUCUAAACCUGAGAGGUUGGAGAGGGAAGGGGGUCAGCACAAAAGUACUGGCAUUGAGAGAUAUCAAAACAAAACAUAAUAUUUUUACAAAGCAUAGUAGAGAGCCAUUAUAAAGCAAUUUCGUAUUAAAUCAUUUGAAAGCACAUGGUGUAAUGCAAUAGUUUUUUUCUUAACAAUAAUGAAAUGCAACUGAGCUAGGGGGAAUACCCUACAUAAUUUACACCAACUGUCAAACCUCGGUUACCGCCGAGAUUAGAGAAUAAGUAAGAGAGAGACACAUAAGACCACGAAGCAUGGUGUCUCGACCCAAAUCAAAUAUGGUAGUGCACGAGACCACAAAGCAUGGCUACUGACCAUAAUCCCAAUUUGGAAUAAUAUAAUAUUAGGUACACAAGACCACAAAGCAUGAUACCAAGUUCCCGAGUUGGCAAACACGGUUUCCAGCGUAGAAUCAAAUGACUCAUGCUUUCUUUAGGCAACCACCUAUCUCAUUUAAAAUCAAUGCAUUCAAAUUUCAUCUUAUUCAAUCAUAUGUCGUAUUCUGUAGGGUAUCGUCAUACCUGACUUGCAAGUCAUCAAUAUCACAUCCACAUAUGCAUAAUCAUGUAAAAAACCAAGGUACUUCAUCAUUUAUAAGUGGUGAACAAUAUUUAUUUCAAAUUCAUGCUCUCUUUUAUUGAUCACAAUAUAAUAUGGAGUGUCGAAACAUUAUCAUGGGAAUUUGAAAACAAUUUAUCAUUCAUAUUUAUCAAACUUCCAUAGAAAAUCUCAAAUCACAUAUGCAUGGUUUCAACCAUUGAAGUAUAUAGGCAAACAAUUCCCAUGACAUAAAGAAAACGACUUAAAAAUCGUAUUAAAAGCAAGAUAUUAGUAUUUGAUUGAAAACCCCCAUUUAAAACCAUGCAUGUUCAUAAAAACUACACCCAUGAGAUUUUUGGAUAACCCCACGUACCUCUAUUUCCAAGGAUAAUAGGUGUUUCUUGAAGCUUGCGGAUUGAUGAAUCCAAAUAUGUAAUUAUCUUUGAAAACCUAAGGUCAAAUCUUGAACUAUUUGGGUUUUUAUUUUGAAACCCUAAAGAGAAUCUUGAGCACUUUUGAUGAAAGAAUAUGUAUUUUGGGGUCCUUGGAACUAAAUCUCGUGUUUUAGGGCUAAGUAAGGGUGGAAAAGGACCACUUUGUCCUCAACACGGAGUGCUAAAAUCACCAGAAUUCGUACAUAGGCGCCGCCCAUCCCGUUGCCUAUGUUCACAUAGGCACCGCCUAGGCUAUCGCCUAUGUUUGCAUAGGCGCUUCCUAGGCUAUCGCCUAUGUUUGCAUAGGCGCUUCCUAGGCUAUCGCCUAUGUUUGCAUAGGCGCCGCCUAGGCUAUCGCCUAUGUUUGCAUAGGCGCUUCCUAGGCUAUCGCCUAUGUUUGCAUAGGCGCCGCCUAGGCUAUCGCCUAUGUUUGCAUAGGCGCCGCCUAAGCUAUUGCCUAUGUUUUCCAGUAGCCAUGGGUGAUUGGUUAGGCGAUGCUUAUCACUUUGAAGGGCCAUAACUUUUUGCUCGGGUGUUGGAUUUUUGCCAAAUUGGUAUCGUUGGAAAGAUAACUCGAAUACCUAUCAUUUGACACAUAGUAGGCUUCCUAUUUCAAUAUGUAUAGAGUGUUAUGGUCAAUGGAAACUGACACACUUUACAACAUCUACUAAAACUUAGUCAAUAGAAAUAGUUCCAACUCUUCCUUGAGUUGAAGGACCUCUAUGGUCUGAAUUCAAGCUUGAGCGGAUUCACAUGCUACCCAAUAAUUAACAUGCCGUAUUGGCAUAGAAUUUUAUGGCUUCAGGAUUAGGAAUGCAUCGAAAUCAUGGUCUAUAUUGUAGCUCGAAUUGUGGGGCGUUACACUCGCAGGGUCAACUAUAAAUCCAAUCGUGUCUUUGCAAUUACAUGGUGUUGGUAUUGUGUUCAUCCUAACCCCGAGUCGUCGAUCGAUCACUCUGAGUUGAAAUGAGUUCUCAUCAACUCAAUGUUAGGAUAGUGAUAGUGCCUAAGUUGAUUUAGGUGGAACUAGGUAUGAAUGAAUGAGCUCGCAGGGUGAACUACAAAUCCAAUUGAGUCUUUACAAUUGCAUAGCGCUAGUAUUGCGUUCAUCCCAACCUGAGUCCGUCAAUCGAUCACUCUGAGUUGAAAUGAGUUCUCAUCAACUCAAUGUUAGGAUAGUAAUAGUACCUAAGUUGAUUUAGGUGGAACUAGGUAUGAAUGAAUGAGCUCGCAGGGUGAACUACAAAUCCAAUUGAGUCUUUACAAUUGCAUGGCAUUGGUAUUGCGUUCAUCCCGACCCGAGUCAUCGAUCAUUCACUUUGAGUUGAAAUGAGUUCUCAUCAACUCAAUGUUUUGAAAACUAUAUCUUUUAAAAUUUUUAAAAUUAAUUAAGAUCAAUUCGGACCAAAUUAGCAAUUUCAAAACUUGUCAUUCUUUUCCAAAAUUACAAAUCAACCCAUACAAAUCAUCUAUUUGCGCAAAAAACUUUUCAUUUCAAAUCUUAAGUACUCGCUCUUCUCUCUCUCUCUCGGGGUGUUCUCUCCCUCUCAACAAUACAAACAACAACUACUCAAAAUAUUGCUCAACCCUUCAAAACAGGUCAAUUUUUUUUCCAUUUACGACUACAUAUAGUUAUUUUUUUCGACUUCAUUCACAAUUCUAUCCAUUAUUUUCUCUAUUUUCGCAUGUAACAGAGUUCGAAAAGAGUUCUACAUUUGUUUUUUAUUCUAAAAAAUAGGGCUUUUUAGUUAAUGAUAAAAAAGAAAACUUUUAGUUGUAUUAUCUUCGAGAAUGGGUUAACAAUCUUGAGUUUUGAUGCUAAAAAAGUAGGAAGAACCCGAGAAAAUCCUAGUUUUUCUCUCAGUCUUUUGUUAACUGUCGUGGUAUUGUUGGAUGGUGUUUGUGGUGUUGGUGGUGGUUGUUGUUAGUGGUGUUGGUAUUUGUAUUUUUUGGCGGUGGUGACGGUGGUCUUGGUGUUGGUAUUGGUGGCAUUGGUUGUGGUGGUGGUGGUUCAUCUGUUGCAACGGGUGGAAGAUCUGUUGGGAGAUAUUAAAUAGGUCUUUAAACAGAUUCACUAUCUGUUCCAACUGAUGAGUUAUCCGUUGGAGUAUUUUCUUGUAAUGUGGCAUAGAAUAAUUUAUUAAAAUUUCUCCACCUGUUGCAACAAGUGGAAUAUAUGUGGGGAGAUAUUAAAUAGGUCUUCAAACAGAUUUGGGUUCCCCAUCUGUUCCAACUGAUGGGUUAUCCGUUGGAGUAUUUUUUUUGUUAUGUGGUAAGAAUAAUUUAUUGAAAUUUGUCUCACCUUUUUUAAAAAAAUUAUGCAGACAUCAAAUGCAAUGUAUUUUUGUUUUUCUUUUAUUUGUAGUUAAAAGAUGUCUCCCAAAAGAAAAGAAACAGAAAGUGGAGAAAGUGGAUCAACUUUCAAUCACCAAAUGAAAAAGGUUAAAGUACAGAUAGAUUCGGAGGAACUUCUAGAACAAUCUCAGUCAGGGCAAAAUAAAGUCGAGGAAACUGAUAACUCCUCCUCACCAAUGGGUCGUGAAAGCGAUCGUUGUCAAUAUAAAACCCAACUAGGUUGGUGUCGAAUCCCACAGGGAAUAGGGUGUGAACUUCGAUUUGUUUACGAAAGAUUUUACUGGUAGUUUACUGUUUUUGAAUGAUGGGUGUUUAAGUUCACGGUGUGUUAAAUAUCACUUUCAAUACUUCAGUGUUUGUAAUCAAGAUAAAUGGGAAACCAGGGCUAUAUUCACCAAAGGUUUUGGUAAUUAACAGAUACUAGGUAAUGCUAGAGAUUCUCGGAAUGAGUAGAAUUGCAGAAUAUCCCUGAUGAUUAUACUAUCUGACUUAUCUCUCGACCUCACCAGACAAUUCAUUAUCUAAUUCUCACAAACUUAAAUAACUUAUCUAUUUCCAAUAGGAUGUUAUCUCAGGUAGAUUAAUCCAGUUACGACAUUAAUCAUUAAAUAGAAGGUUGGUAGCUUCCGAGUCCCUGUUGUUAAUUCACGUCCCCUAGUAUAUUUCUCCGUUAGAAGCAAAUAAAACCUAAGGCAUAACCUAAUGUUUGCAACCACUAUAUUUUAGUUAAAACAACAGAAUUUCAAGAUGUUUUACUACUCUUUGAAUCCGUUAAACACCUAGUAUCAUAUCAAACCCUAAUCCAUGGAUCCCAUAACUCCGGCAAAUGAAAUUAGCCGCUUAUGAUUUGAUGAAUGAAAUAACAAGUUGAAUUCAUGAUUAUAAUGAUAAACUUAAGAAUGGAUAGAUAACAACAAGUAGUUCCUCCGAUUUAAUCACAAGGUAGAAACCCCAAAAAUAGUUGAUACGAAAACACAAGAAUAAUUUAUGAAAGAGAGCAAAAAUACGUCUCUCUUCUUAGAGUUGAUGUCUGAUAGAUAACUAUUGAAUAUAAUCAAAAACCCUAAAAGAUGCUAUUUAUACUAAAGCCAAAUUAAGGAAAUAAAAUAACAAAAUUAAUAAAAUUGUUCGGAAUAGGUGACGCCCAGGCUACGCCGCGCCAAGAAGUUGAUGCCCUAUCACGGAUGACGUCAGAGAGGCUUCAGUUUCCUUCAGGUUCUGUCUUAGGAUGACGAUGUGGAUGACGCCGUGUCAGGGAUCUGACGGCGUAUCACCAAUGUCGUCAGAUAUCUUCUUCCCAUGCUAACUUUCUGCUUAAGGCUGACGUCAUUCUUGACGCCUUAUCAUGACUUUGACGCCACAUCACCGAUGUCGUCAGCACUGCUCCUCAAACUACAACUCCCUGGUUAAGGCUAACGCCAAUACUGAUAGGAUAUCACGAGGUUGACGACAUAUCACGGGGGUCGCCAGCCAUGUUUUCUUCUAUUUUGCUCAGACUUUCAACUCUUUUGCUCCAUUAUUGUUUAUUCUCAUUUCUCCAGCCUUUUUCUACAAUAUCAUGAGCAAACACAUCAAAACAACAAGAGGUUCUUCAGAAUUCACAAUUAUUUUAAGCUAAAAAGCAUUAAAUGUGUAAGCUUUUUCUCACAUAUCAACACCCUCAACUUAAAACAAUUGCUUGUCCUCAAGCAACAACUAACUAAGAGAAUACAACGAACAUUUAGCAGUCAAUAACCAAUUUAGCUCAAAACUCAGUUUACCAUCUCCAAGGUCAACCAACUCAAAAUUACUGUGCAAUUUAUUGAAAAGCAAUAAUGUAACACAAAGGCUUUUACCCGUGGCAUCAACUAAGUACCGACAAUCAUGCAUGUAUCAAUGUACACUACCCAAAUAAGUAAGUAACUUAGCAAGAUACUAGUGUGCCCUCACAAUCAAAAAAAUUCCCCUCUUUUUCUCAUGUCAGACAUCAAAAAUAUAAACAUGGGGCUCAUCACAAAAACACUCACUCUCAGAAUGAAGUUCAAACCAGUGUAUGCCAAAUACCAUAUGCUUUCCCUUAUCGUCAUUACCAAGGUUUCCAGAUAGGUACGCUAGGAUCACUAUAGGUCUUUCUUCAACUUGUAAUGUAAGCUAGGGCUGGUAUGAUAUUAUACGGCAUUUAGAGUGACUAACCUCCUUGGCACUACCUUACUUGUGGGGUCCACUUAUUAACCUCUUUUUCUCUCUUUUUCUUUUCUUUUCUUUUUCUCUUUUUCUCCUUUUUUUUCACUUUUUCUAUUUUCUUUAUCACACUUUCAGGAUGGGUGCACUUCAUUUUAUUCAAGCAGAGUUUCUUUUCUUGGUCUUUUUCACCAACACCCAACCUUUUAUUCUUUUUCCUUGAUCCUUUCUCUUCUACUCUACCCUUCUUCAUACCCAACUUAUAUCACGCACCCCUAUGAUAGCCACCCUCAACUUAGGCUGUUUACCUACGUUAAGGUGCACAGUGUCCAAGGAGGACCAGGGCCAAAACAGGUUCAUUAUGAUUUAAAAAGGGAAGGUGAUAGGUAUCAUAGAAAGAAAAAUGCUCAAUUAAGGCUCAAACUGGGAUCAAGGGAUAUCAUGCAUUAGAGGAAGGUCAUUUAGGCUAAUAGUGACUUAAAUUCAAAAAUGGCCUAUGAUCCUUUCCUAACCCCUAUCUUUCAACUAUGGGAAGAUGAACCGGGCAAGUUCUAGAUUUGACAAUACAAACAGAACUCGGUAUAGUCUCACACACACAUAGCACACAAUCAAUAUCACUAGCUACUACCUAUCUGGUUUAUGCAAUUGUUCAGCAGUGAUGGUCAGGUAACUAAACUAAUGCCAUGAAGAGAUGCACAGUGGUCACACUAAGGUGUAAUCCAUACAGUCAUGCAAAACAAACCUUCGGAGAGGUGUUCAAAAUCAUAAAAACAGUUAACUGCCUACAGAACUUGCACUACUCCUAGUUAUUUAUAGAAUAUGCUACAAAAACAUGCUACCCUAUACCCUCAACUUAAAAUCAAAACAAACUGAAACUAAGGAUUAGGGCAUACCUGGAGUCAAUCAAGUCUCAAAUCAUGGGUCCUCGACCCUGCAGCAGUGUUAUCCUCAUCAAGAGAUUCUCUUUGAUCCGGUUCAGUUGUUCUGCUAGAUGAGGCUCCUAUAGAUCUCACCCGUGGUGCUUCUUCCCAUUUCUAGUUAUCCUCUCGGGAUGCUUGUGUUGCCCUUUUCAGAUUCUCUUUCUCCUUUUCUGUCAACUCAUCAUCUGUCUGCAGUGUCUUCUCUUCCUUCUUCUUCUUAUUUACCUUUUUCUCAGCCUUGCUCUCAUUCUCAUCAUCUUCUUAUCUCUUUCUCUUACCUUUUUUAGCUUCUUUGUCUUUCUUCUUUUUCUUUUUCACUGGCUCCACAGUGAGAUCAAGGAUUGGAGGUUCAUCCUCAGAUUCCUCUGCUAUCUGCCCUGUAGGCAUCAUAAAUUGGUGUUGUUAUACUACCACCAUCUCAGCUUUUACCUUUUCUAGUGCCACUCUGAAUUCAGCAAGCUUUGCUCCAGUCAGCUUUUGUGCCCUUGCAUCAAAACGGUUCUCCAGAUUUGUAACCCGUGCAGGCAAAGUAGCAAAGGGAUCAAGAGAAGCCCUGAUUAUUUUAUCUACAAUAGCAGCAAAUUGCUCAGCAAAGGCACGUAGCUGUUUCUCACACCAUCUGGCCUGUUUGGCUUCUUUUUUAUAUUAAUAGGCUAGGAUACAGCUUUUGCUGGUGCUGUAAGAACUGAUGGACCUGGCUCAUCAUCAAGAACUAAGCCUGCCUGAGCAGCCUCAGAAGCUUGCACCUUAACUUCAGGUACUGAACUAGGUCCUGCAACUGAUGGGUUCACCUCAACCCUCACCCAUCUAUCAAGUAUCAACCUUGGUUGAUUUUUCUCAUAGCAAUUAGGGUUGUGGGUUUUGGUGGCAUACAAAGUCUCAUCAAUCCCAAUAAUAUAUGGUGCCCCUUCCUCUGUGCAUAGCCUGGUAAUCAUACAACGAAAUAGAUACGCUAUGUCAGACCUCGUUACCCGAAUCUUGAUCUCUUCAGCAAUAAUCUCCCUAAAAUUUAGCUUAAGGUUGGUCACAAAACAUGCAACUAAUAUUGCUCGAUCAUGACCCAGAAUAUUAUCUCCGUCGGUCGACAUCAAAUGGGUAUGCACAACACCCUACCAAAAUUUUGCCUUUUGAGUCAAAAAAGCCUUGUAAAUACGCUCACUAGGUUGGUUCAGCCAUAAAUGAUCUCUCUCAUCUAUAAGUGUAUCUAACCAAGGACGCUGGACAUCCUUACUCUUCAGACAAUGGUAGAAUGCAGGAUUUGUGACUUGCGGAUUGAAGUUAGGUCCAUGUAGAAACCAGUUGAUAGUUGUAUCAGAAAUAUCUACAUUUACCCCACGAACUGGAACUCUGGUCAGCAAAGGCUGGUCUGUUGUAGUCUCUCCACUCUUGCACAUGCUCUCUAAUCUAGCCUGGUAGUUCGCAUAGAACUCCCAAACUACUAUAAGGCAAAACGGUUUACCUCCCUUAGCAGUCCAUCCCAGCCCAUAAUCUCUGAAUUUCUUCUCAACUGCAGGAUACCCAGGCAAUCCUGUGAUGAUGACUCUCUUCUCUGGAAACACCGGCCUUCUGGUAGAUCUUCUUUUUGUUCUAAUCAACCCUUUGAGGAAGAUGUCUUCUGCUUCAGGGAUCUGUCAUCUAUCACUCUCUCGAACCUUCGGAUUCUUGCAUUUUAUCAAAUUUUCCUGAACUGGGGGUUCCUUCUCAGCUUGAUUUUCAGUCAUAGGAGUUUCAGAGAAUGUACUCAGGCUAUUCGUACUCAGUUUGCUUAGAACCUUCUUUCUCAGAAGAUUCACUCUCAGCUGGGGUGGUAGUCUCAGUAUCAUCACUAUCCUCCACCGUAAUGGGUUUAGGUGGAGGAGGUGCCUUUGGACUGGGUUUCUUUAUCCUUUACCUGAGCUGUGGUUCUUCAUCUUCAUAAUCAGAGUCUUCAUCAAUAAGCUUUUGAACCACUUUAGGCUUCGCAGCUUUCUUUGGAGGGUUAGGAUUCUUAAUUUUAGGUGCCAUUAGAAUGUUCCUGGACCAUAAGACAAACACACGUUAACGAUUAAGGUAUAACAGUCAAAACAUGCUAUUCAAGUUCACUUAGCAUUAUCAUCUAACUUUUGAUGACGUGGAUGAUAAGGCGUCACAUUUGUGAUAACCUAUCAGCUAUGUCAUCAGCCUUAAACAGUGAAUGUUCCCUUUUUCAAAGUUGUUGACGAUGUAGCUGAUAAGGCAUCACGUUUGUGAUAGCCUAUCAGUAAUGUCGUCAGCUCAAAAUAUUUCCCCCACUCAGUUUGCAUUCAUAAUUAUGGGACCAAAUUCUUUGUAUAAUCACAUGGUAUUUUUAUUUUUGUACUUAGGGUUUGCAAUUUAGGCACAACUUAACCCUAAUUUCCGAUUUCCAUGCUAUUACAACUUGAACUCAAGUUUAUUCCUUUAGAGCAUCAUGUUUUCAAACAAUUUACCACUUCAAUGAUAGGAGAACAAAGUUAUGAGCGUACCUGAUGAGUUGACUCCACUUGAUUACCCGAGAGAGAAGAAAAUAUGAGAGAUAGACUCUGAUUUUCCUUGCAAUCCCACAACUAUCAGGAAGGAGGUUUCCUUGUAUACUUGGGAGUGUUUUAAAAGAAAGUAAAUAUCCUACUAAGGAAAUAAAAUAAUACUUAAAGAAGGAAAUAAAAUAAAGCGGGAACUUGAAGGGUUUUACACCGGGUCCGGGUCGGAUUUGGAUCGAAUUGAGCCUAAAUUUUUCAAAAUAACACAAUGGCUGACGCCAACUCGUGAUAAGACAUCAUAAAUGUGAUAGCUUAUCACAAAAGUCCUUAGCCUUAAUAGAGAAGGUCUCACCCUCUGAUCUUUCUAACGACAUUAGUGAUAAGCUAUCACAAUUGUGAUAGCCUAUCACGAAUGUCGUCAAGACCACUUGACUUGUAUUCUUCAAUUUUUACCUCGACCUUUUUGUACCCCUUCAGCUCCUUCUUAUUACUACCUAAUUGAAUAAAACCAAAAUGCAUGAAAAUAAAAUUUUGGGUUUCCUCCUAAUAGCGCAUGAUUUAGUGUCACGGCACGACUUGGUUAUCUCGACUACUCAGACUUCAUCAAGAUAUCGUAUCACUACCUCAUUACCACAUUCUUGGAAUACAUCCACAACCGAGAAAAUGUUCAUCUCCUUAAACUGCUUCAUAGGAGGUUGCAUUUUAAAUCUGGCCUCCUUUUUCCCAUAUCUGAACUUAAGCUCAUUGAGCUCCAUAUCAACCAAUACUCUCCCCGAGGCUAAUAAUGGUCUACCCAAGAUGAUGGGUACCUCAAAAUCAACAUCACAAUCCAGUAUUACAAAGUUUGUAGGCAGAAUAAAAUCAUCCACCUUUACCCGCACAUCCUGUAAUAUACCAAUCGGUCGCUUAACCGAUCUAUCUUCCAUAACAAGAUACAUCGUUGUGGGGGUAGGCUCCCCUAAUCCAAGAUUCUUGUAGAUAUCAAGCGCCAUUAGAUUUAUACUUGCUCCUAAGUCACAUAAAGCUUUGGUAAACUUUAUGGACCCAACUGUGCACGGUAUGAUAAAUGCUCCAGGAUCAUCCUUUUUCUGCACUAAGGAUUGUGAAGACACAGCACCACAGUGAUGGAUGUUGUCCACAGGCUCACAACUUACCUUUUUCUUCUUUGUUAGCAAUUCCUUCAUAAAUUUAGUAUAGUUUGACAUUUGCUCAAGUGCCUCCAUCAAUGGCAUAUUCACGGUCAGUUGUUUCAUUAUUGCUACGAACUUGCUAAAUUUCUCAUUAUCUUCUUUCUUUUUCAACCUCUGAGGAAAUAGAGGUGGUGGUGUUGGAAUUUGUUUCAAUACCACUUCCUCUUUCUUGUCGUCUUCUUUCUCUGACAUGUCAACAAAGCCAUCCAGCUUCUCAGACUCUAGUAGAUUGCUUCCUUCCAAUUUAUCAAUACUUACCUCCUUCUCCAAAGCUUUGCCCAUAGAAGGGCCAGAUAAUAUCUCACCACUACGAGUGGUAAUAUCCAUACAAGAGCCAUCAAUCCGCGGGUUCUGAACCGUAUCACUAAGUAAAGUGCCAGCUUUUCUCUGAUUCAGAGUAUCUGAAAGUUGGCUCAUCUGCUGCUCCAACUACUUAAUAGAAGCUGAGUGUGAGCUAACCAAAUGACUGAGGGUAGAAAACUCACUUUUCAUAUUAGUUACCCCCGAGUUGGUUGCCUCCACUCCCUUUAACAGCUUUUCUAUCAUGUCCUCUAUUGACAUCUUGCCAGAACUAGUUAUUCCAGCAUCCCGACUUCCAGGAGGAAUAUACAAACCAUUUCUGUCAUUAUUGUUUCUCCAAUGUCCUUUCUUUAUAUCUUUAUAAUUAGGCUUGUCAUAGAAAGUCCAACCUUGGUUCCUUUGGCUAUUGACUCAAAAACCCCCUUAUUACUCACAUAGUUUGCCUCGACAUCAGCACCUGUAGAUACAGUACCCUGAGAGUCCACAACCUUAAGCAUUUCAGUCUUUCCAGAUAGCAAGUGCUUAACCAGCAAGUCCAUCUGCGUCUUCAAAUGGUCCAUGUCCUAAUCUCACUCAUCAUCCCUUCUAUGCUACUCUGCAGUAAUACCACCAGCAACAGUAGAGCUAGCCACUAUAGAAUCCCUAGUGUUCCAAGCCCGACUCUGCUUGGUCAUUCUAUUCAGCAUAUCAGAAGCAUCCAGAAAAGAGAGUUCAACGAACGAACCACCUACAGCGUUGUCGAUAAUUGGCUUUGUCAAAGAGUUGAAAGCUCUGUACAAAGUCUCCAUUAAGUGCAAGUCUGUCAUAUUAUGGCUCGGACAUUGUGAAAGCUUCUUCUUAAACCUUUCCCAAGUCUCAUCCAGUGCUUCAGUCGGAAGUUGUCUGAAGUUGCUAAUCUCAUCCCUCAAUUGUACACUUCUGGAGGGUGGAAAAAACUAUUCUAGGAACGCAUCUUUCAACUGUCUCCAGUUAGUUAUAGAGUCGGGAUCUAGCUCAUUCAACCACAUUGUUGCCUCUCCAGACAGAGACAAUAGAAAUAACCUCAACCUGAUCGCAUUCUGUCUCACUCUCGGAUUGUCAAAGGAUUUGCAGAUGGUAAUGAAGCUCACCAAAUGCAUGUUCGGAUCAUCACCAAGCAAGCCUCCAAAUAACCCUUUCAGAUUUAGGAGUUAGAUCAUGGUACUUGUUGUGAUGAACUUUGCACCUGGUGCCAACGGUGGGGGAAUGAUAGCACCCAUUGCACCAGCUCCGUCCAUUCCUUCAUCAUCUUCAUCAGUCUCAUAUUGCAUAGGUGUAAUACCCCUAAAAAUCCAAACCAAUAUUAGAGCCAUGUACCAAGCUCAUGAAUAGUCCAUCAUGAUUUUUUAUAGUUUUAUGAGUAGGUUAGAUGUAUAUAAGGCUUCAAAUAACUCUCAGCUAUCAGACGAAUCCAAACAUUCCUUACCGAUUGAAUUCUUGAGAAGGAUAUUGGUAUAGUUAACUUCAAACUAGCAUAUAUCUCAUUAUACUUGGAAUUUUUGAGCUCAUAACCUAUCAGAAGAUAGAUAAUUGAAUUAUCUUUCCAACGAUACCAAUUUUGCCUAAAUUCGAUAUCGGAGCAAGGAUUAUUCCUAUUUUACUCCAGCAUGUCAGGCUGGAAACAGUGUGACGACAUAUGUGACAGCUUACCACAUUUGUGAUGCCCUAUCACGAAGGUCGUCAGCCUUAGGCAGAAACCAGCUCCUAAGUGAUGACAUUCGUGAUAGCUUACCAUAUUUGUGAUGCCCUAUCACGAAGGUCGUCAGCCUUAGGCAGAAACCAGCUCCUAAGUGACGAUAUUUGUGACAGCUUACCACAUUUGUGAUGCCCUAUCACGAAGGUCGUCAGCCUUAGGCAGAAACCAGCUCCUAAGUGACGACAUUCGUGAUAGCUUACCACAUUUGUGAUGCCCCAUCAUAAAGGUCAUCAGCCUUAGGCAGAAACCAGCUCCUAAGUGACGAUAUUCGUGACAGCUUAUCACAUUUAUGACGCCCUAUCACAAAAGUCGUCAGCUAUGAUUUUUCAGCAACUGGGAAUUUAUUUCAUAAGGGUAUUUUGGUCAUUUCCUUCACCUUCCAUGACUUAUAACCCUAAAGAGGCAUAAUUUUUCCCAUUUUUUUCUUCAGUUAAACAUCUCAAAAACCCUCUCUUACGCUCUCAACCAUAAGAUUAGGGUUUUCAUCAAACCCAUCUCUCAAAAGUAAGAUUCAAGCCUUUUUCCAAGAUAAUUGAGAAUUAAGUUUCCCAAUCCAAGAACUCUCCAGCAAAUCAUUAAGGUUUCCUUUCUAAGGUAUGGAUAGUGUUCAUCUAUGGAUCCAAUCCAUUAAUAGAGCUCAAGAACCAUGUUUUAAAUAUUAUUUUGUAAACUUUUUUUGGUGAUAUGAGUAUGUACAUGUUCAAGAUUGUUGUUUAAGUUUCAAUGUGAUGUCUAAAGGUGUUUUCAUGGAAUAUAUAUGUUUGUUAAUUGAAAACCAUGAACUUUAGGUGGUUUAAUAUGGUGCAAGUAUGAAACUCACCUAUGCCUUAAAGAAUACAUGUAAGGUGUUUGAUAAAAUGCUUAGGAUGCUAGAAAUUGAUGUUUGUAUGGUUAUAUGAUGUCUAAAUGAAAAGUCCAUGUUAUCUAUAUACUUCAAUAUGAAUCCCAUGCUUUUCAUGUGUUGCUAUUGUGGUGGUAUGAAGCAUGUAAGAUAAUGGAGAUAUACAAUAGGUACACGAAAUAUAUCCAUGCAUUCCCUAAAAUGUUUAAGAUGCUGGAUAACUAUAUGAAAGAUGAUAUCCCCUACUUAUGAUAUUAUGAAUUAUGGACUCAAAUCUUGUGAUCAAGCCAUGUCAUGUGUGUCAGUUUCCUUCGAUCGAGUCCUGGGGGUAUUCGUACCCGAAAAAAUAGUUGUGUGCCUAGAUCCAUGUCAUGUUGUCACGAAAUAUCAGUCAAGCUAUAAUCUAUAGAACUCAGUCAGUCAUGUGACUCAGGAAAACCUUAGAAAUCUCAUGAUCUCAGUUAAUUCUCAGAUAAUAGUACUACUCCAUCAAUCAACGGAAGUCAGCUAAUCUAUCCAUGUACAGUCAGUUGAAUCAUGUUUAGUCUCUUUAGAUGGGACCGAGUAAACCCAAGGAUGGGGACUCACCUACCUGUGUAGGGUGUGAUUCUUAGCAGUCAUCCUUGUAUUCCAGAACUACGUAGCCAGCGUAGGUUGAGACAUCUUAGCCUAUCAGAUUAGAGGUGAUGAGGUGGCUUAACCUAUUAGUUUAGGGUUCCCACCAUUCUCCUUUCGAAUACCUGCCAGCUAAGGGUCACCCAUAACUAUCCUUACUAGUGGCGCGGUAUUGACACCCCUCCAGUCGGGGUAGAGAUUGGACCCCAACUUAGCUAUAUGCGUUAUUGAGGGAUGUCAAUUAAAUAACUACUCCUCACAGUUUCAGAAUUAGUCUCAGUAUAAGAACUCAGAUAGGUUUUCAGAUUUCAGUAUAUCAGGAUUGUCAGAUACAGUUACCUAUUUUAUCAGAAUUGCAGUAUCAGUCAUGUUAGCCAUCAGUAAACCAUGUAUUAGCAUACAAGACUAGCUAUUAUGCACCCACGGUUUCAGUUACUAUGUAUGCAUAUUUGUAAUCUUACGUUCAUGUCAGUCAAACAGUUAGCAUUGUUCAUGCAUGUAAACCCUGUUUAUAUUUAGCCUACCUCACUUGUAUACUCAGUACAUUCCCUCAUACUGAUGCAUUUACGCUAUGGUGCUUUAUUUUCAUGUUACACCAUAGGUUCAGAGACACAAGCUCCAAAUCAGCAGUAGCAGUAGCAUUUCAGUGAGUCCUCUUCAUUCGAGGAAAAUAUGAUUUGAUUUAUUCAUUAUUAUUUUAGCUAGUUAUCAGUUUACGGAGUUAGUUGGAGACAUGUUCCUUCGACUUCUUAUUUAGACAACACUUAGAGGAUUUCAGAUUCAGUAUUCAGACUUAUGUUCAGAUUUGAUUUAGUUUUUAGUUGUUUUGGAUAUCUUUCACUCAGAUGGAUGUUAUGUUUUGACAGAUUCUUUAUUCAGUUGAACCUUAUGGCCUAUAUGUUUAUGUUUUCC
RNAcentral lists this long non-coding RNA (32660 nucleotides) under Capsicum annuum. RNAcentral describes it as "long non-coding RNA (CANN_LNC013256)". The record is from RNAcentral. Lineage: Eukaryota; Viridiplantae; Streptophyta; Magnoliopsida; Solanales; Solanaceae.